UACAGAGGUCUCAAGCGUUGUUCGGAUUCAUUGGGCGUAAAGGGCGCGUAGGCGGCGGGGUAAGUCGGGUGUGAAAUCUCAGAGCUCAACUCUGAAAUGGCACUUGAUACUGCUCUGCUAGAGGACUGGAGAGGAGAUUGGAAUUCCCAGUGUAGUGGUGAAAUACGUAGAGAUUGGGAAGAACACCAGUGGCGAAGGCGGCUAUCUGGACGGUUACUGACGCUAAGACUCGAAAGCGUGGGGAGCAAACAGG
Molecule: ribosomal RNA, 253 nt
Filed under: uncultured bacterium
Lineage: Bacteria
Description: partial 16S ribosomal RNA
Rfam family: Bacterial small subunit ribosomal RNA
Source: RNAcentral